GUUGAUGGAAGCUUACUGACUGGUCAAGGCAGUGCAAGAAGUUUAACCUGUCUGGAAAUAUGGGGACAAGAACUGGAAAGGGCAGUCUGUGCAUGAAGAUUCCAGGAGAAGCCUGAUGAUGGAAAACCUUAAAAUCACAUCGAGGAUCAGUACAAAGUAGCUGCAUGAAGAAUGGAUGGGAGAAUAAGAAGCUAUGGCAAUAACGACAGUUAGAAUAUAUCAAUGGGCAUGGAGGAGGAGGCUGUUGACCUGGGGGGAGUACCAAUAAAGUUGGACUAUGCAGAGGAAAGAACUCGGGGAUUUUAUAAAGUUAGAAUUGUCAGGACUUUGUCAUAAUUUCUUUCUUUUCUUUUCUUUUUUUUUUUUUUUGUAUUUUUAGUACAGAUGGGGUUUCACCAUGUUCGCCAGGAUGGUCUCGAUCUCCUGACCUCGUGAUCUGUCCACCUCUGCCUCCCAAAGUGCUGAGAUUACAGGUGUGAGCCACCACUCCCAGCCUUUGUCAUCAUUUCAGAUAGGGUGAAGGAAUGGUUUAA
RNAcentral lists this long non-coding RNA (533 nucleotides) under Homo sapiens (human). Its description in RNAcentral is "HSALNT0310980". The record is from RNAcentral. Lineage: Eukaryota; Metazoa; Chordata; Mammalia; Primates; Hominidae.